CCUGCUAUGACCCGACCCAAUGUCUGCUGUGAAAAAGACCUAUAAGAGAUGCUUAACUAUUUAACACAACCCAAAUCAAAAUCUCUAGUUUGCAGCCAUCGCCACACCCCACAACAUUAAAAUUGUCUUCCAUGCAGAAAUUAACUGAUGUUACUAACACCAGUCAAAUUAAUAAUGAGCUGCCCUUCGUCCAUCCACCCAUCCAUUCAUAGAUCAACCCUCGCAAGACGUCCUGCUCCUGAGAGACUACUCGAGAGACUGCAUCACCUCAGCAAAGGUAUGCAGAGCCAGAAACACAAGCCUAAACUCUGAUCGGCAGUGAUUAAACACCCUCUGCUUUGUCUUUGAACAAUACUCCCCUUGUGUCCUGCUAUGAUUGAUGGACACUUUUAUUGUUGGGUCAAUAUCACACUGCUGAAGUGAUCAGGGAGCUGGAGUCAAGCAGCGGAACAAUACAUAGGAUCUAUGACUGCAGGAAUGCAUUGUGUGAGAACCAAGAACCUGGCCUCUUAUGAAGGGACUUUCCAGCUUCCCCUGUCUGCCCCUUGGGGUCCUAUCACACCGAGAAAGACAUUUUCAGACAAGCGGCCCUAAUGUCCCUGUUGUACAACUGUUGUACUAAAUAUCAGGUAUAGAUACAAUUCCCA
Micropterus dolomieu (smallmouth bass) is the source of this 647-nucleotide long non-coding RNA. RefSeq lists it as uncharacterized. The transcript has 3 exons. The record is from RefSeq and is a predicted model, not a curated record. NCBI's taxonomy places the organism in Eukaryota, Metazoa, Chordata, Actinopteri, Centrarchiformes, Centrarchidae.